This is a non-coding RNA of Acanthosepion pharaonis, 108 nucleotides long. The record is from the annotation of a GenBank genome assembly. Lineage: Eukaryota; Metazoa; Mollusca; Cephalopoda; Sepiida; Sepiidae.
UAUGGCCACACCACGUUGAAACACCGGUUCACGCACGAUCGCCGAAUUUAAGCAAAGUCGAGCCUGGUCAAUACCUAGAUGGCUGAGCUUUUGGGAAUACCAGGUGCU